This is a non-coding RNA of Podarcis lilfordi (Lilford's wall lizard), 774 nucleotides long. Lineage: Eukaryota; Metazoa; Chordata; Lepidosauria; Squamata; Lacertidae. The record is from the annotation of a GenBank genome assembly.
CACCACGACAGUGUGAUGCUUUAUCUCUCUUGCUUUCCCUUUCACAGGCACUAUAAGAUCAGGACUCUCUGUGCGGAAAGGUAAGCUGAGGAGUCUCGAUCAAUCAAUCAUAGUUAUUGCUCUCCUCCUUCGUCCUUGGCCAGUUGGCUAUUGGGAGAGAGAAUGGUGGCUUCACAGAGCUUUUAAAAUAGGACAGAGGGCCAAAGUUGGGCCACGCUAGCAGUGAAGCCGCGGUGAGGUCCACAGUCCAGUCAGGAAAGGAACCCCCUUCCUCAAUGAUCCCUGGAGUGGAUCUAAGCCAGUGGUGUACAAAGCUUUUUCAAAGAGGGUCAGAUUUGAUGAAGUGAAGAGCUGUGGAAGCCAACCAGAGGGCAAACCAAAGAUGUUGAGGUUUUUUAGGGUUGGAGUUGUUGAGCUGCUUUUUAGGAUUGACGUUGUUGUUGUUGUUUUAGGAUUUUACAUCAGGAGAUAAACUCACAGGGGCAAUUAGGCCCCCCAAAUGGACUUUGGGCAUGCCUGACCUAAGCUCACGAUGUCUAUCCUCCUGGCUAAUUCCUCUCUGCGUGACGCCAAUACCUCUUCUCCUGCACAAAAGCUGCUUUCCUUCCUGCCCAUCUUUCGCGUGGGGCCAAAAAGCUGCCUUGAGCUGCCUCUGGGGACGCACCCCUUCGGAAAAAGAAGAGGAGAAAUGUGUAGAAAAGUAACUUCCAGUGUAUUUCUUAAUUUUUAAAAUCAAAGGAUCCAUGUGUGUGUCUAUGUAUCGACACCAUUAAA